UUCUUUGGGGACUAAUGCUGGGCUUAGCAAGAGGCCUUCACACUUGAGAAUGAUGUAAGCAUUCCAGGUGGGAAGCGGCAUCUCCAAUCAGAGGCUACUACAUUGGUUUUAACUCGGCCAAACACUCCACACCAGUUCUGACAUACUACUGAGAAGGUUCCUCUCCAACUAUGGGAAGGUAUCCAGUAUUGCGACUUUGAAGUAUGUCUGCACUUCUAAAAUAUACUCAAAAAACAAAUCUAUUUCAGUGGAAAAUGUACUAUUUUUAAAGCACACCUGACUUGUCAUGCAAAUUACCUCAUUUUUGCUAUUCUCCAAACAAGUCAAACACAUUUGACCGCCUCCUGUAUGCAAACCUCUGGUUCCCCAAGGUAAGUACUUCUGUGUUUCCUUCACGCAAUAUAAACCUAACAUAAAGCAUGAUGCUUCAACGUGUUACUAUAUAGGAAAAGGAUAGGUAUAGUAGGUACAAUGUAAAGAUUUUAUAAUUGUUAAUAUCAGAUAAUGUUAAAAGUACACUUGAAAGCAUCUAAGAUACAUAAGAAAACCUAAAAGUAUAUCAAACCAAGGCUUAAGUUUUGCUUAAAUAACUAUUUAAUGAAAACAAAAGACCUUACUUUUACAUCCAAUGUGUGUUGA
RNAcentral lists this long non-coding RNA (639 nucleotides) under Bos taurus (domestic cattle). Its description in RNAcentral is "long non-coding RNA NONBTAT022605". The record is from RNAcentral. Lineage: Eukaryota; Metazoa; Chordata; Mammalia; Artiodactyla; Bovidae.